GGAUGCCGAUCAUACCAGCACUAAAGCAUCGGAUCCCAUCAGAACUCCGAAGUUAAGCGUGCUUGGGCGAGAGUAGUACUAGGAUAGGUGACCUCCUGGGAAGUCCUCGUGUUGCAUUCCC
This 121-nucleotide ribosomal RNA is filed under the name Thinopyrum intermedium. Lineage: Eukaryota; Viridiplantae; Streptophyta; Magnoliopsida; Poales; Poaceae. The record is from RNAcentral.